Sorghum bicolor (sorghum) is the source of this 340-nucleotide long non-coding RNA. RefSeq lists it as uncharacterized. The transcript is spliced from 2 exons. NCBI's taxonomy places the organism in Eukaryota, Viridiplantae, Streptophyta, Magnoliopsida, Poales, Poaceae. The record is from RefSeq and is a predicted model, not a curated record.
CCGGGGUCAAGGAGUGGUUAGAUGGAGGGGAGAAAAGGCAUGCACAGGCCCUGGUCUGGUGCACUUCGGUGACCCAAAUCAGGUGCUGGCGAGAUGGCGGGAGCUGGGAGGUGCCGCGGGUUGGGGCUAGUAAAAAAGCGUGACAAGGAUCUGGUUGGUAGGUUGAUCACAAGCUAUUGCCCGUUGUCACUGUCCACCGAAGCGUCACGUUGCUGCGCUCACUCAGUUUGUUGGCCUUCCCCUUCGCCUGCUAUUGGUUGAUCUUCCUUUUCGAAAGAUGUUGGCUAAUACUCCUAUAAUGAUGGUGCAUGCAGGCAAAAUGCCAUUAAUUUCUGUCUAA